GGAUGGGUGACAGAGCGGUCUAUUGUGCACGCCUGGAAAGCGUGUGUGCCAAAAGGCACCCGGGGUUCGAAUCCCCGCCCAUCCG
RNAcentral lists this transfer RNA (85 nucleotides) under Verrucomicrobiota bacterium. RNAcentral's name for it is "Verrucomicrobia bacterium tRNA-Ser". It matches the Rfam family "tRNA". Rfam says of the family: Transfer RNA (tRNA) molecules are approximately 80 nucleotides in length. Their secondary structure includes four short double-helical elements and three loops (D, anti-codon, and T loops). The record is from RNAcentral. RNAcentral also lists the same sequence under 1 other name. Lineage: Bacteria; Pseudomonadati; Verrucomicrobiota.